This 237-nucleotide ribosomal RNA is filed under the name uncultured bacterium. RNAcentral describes it as "partial 16S ribosomal RNA". It matches the Rfam family "Bacterial small subunit ribosomal RNA", at positions 100 to 334 of the family's 1533-position model. The record is from RNAcentral.
CCGGCACGGGUGAGUAACACGUAUCCAACCUGCCGUCUACUCUUGGACAGCCUUCUGAAAGGAAGAUUAAUACAAGAUGGCAUCAUGAGUCCGCAUGUUCACAUGAUUAAAGGUAUUCCGGUAGACGAUGGGGAUGCGUUCCAUUAGAUAGUAGGCGGGGUAACGGCCCACCUAGUCUUCGAUGGAUAGGGGUUCUGAGAGAAAGGUCCCCCACAUUGGAACUGAGACACGGUCCAA